This 259-nucleotide non-coding RNA is filed under the name Alligator sinensis (Chinese alligator). RNAcentral describes it as "Eukaryotic small subunit ribosomal RNA". It matches the Rfam family "Eukaryotic small subunit ribosomal RNA", at positions 1229 to 1379 of the family's 1831-position model. Lineage: Eukaryota; Metazoa; Chordata; Crocodylia; Alligatoridae. The record is from Rfam by way of RNAcentral.
CACUGAAUUUGGAAAAGGAUUUAUAGCUCUUUCUCGAUUCUGUGGGUGGUGGUGCAUGGCCGUUCUUAGUUGGUGGAGCGAUUUGUCUGGUUAAUUCUGAUAACGAACGAGACUCUGGCAUGCUAACUAGUUAUGCGACCCCCGAGGGUGCUGAAGGCACUGGCCGACAUCAUUGCAGAGCCACUAGAGGGAAUAUUUGAAAGCUUGUGGCGCACGGGCCAAGUCCCAGAGGACUGGAAAAGGGCCAAUGUGGCCCCCA